RNAcentral lists this ribosomal RNA (542 nucleotides) under uncultured bacterium. RNAcentral's name for it is "partial 16S ribosomal RNA". It matches the Rfam family "Bacterial small subunit ribosomal RNA", at positions 355 to 887 of the family's 1533-position model. The record is from RNAcentral.
UGGGGAAUUUUGGACAAUGGGCGAAAGCCUGAUCCAGCAAUGCCGCGUGUGUGAAGAAGGCCUUCGGGUUGUAAAGCACUUUUGUCCGGAAAGAAAUCCUUGGCUCUAAUACAGUCGGGGGAUGACGGUACCGGAAGAAUAAGCACCGGCUAACUACGUGCCAGCAGCCGCGGUAAUACGUAGGGUGCAAGCGUUAAUCGGAAUUACUGGGCGUAAAGCGUGCGCAGGCGGUUUGCUAAGACCGAUGUGAAAUCCCGGGCUCAACCUGGGAACUGCAUUGGUGACUGGCAGGCUAGAGUAUGGCAGAGGGGGGUAGAAUUCCACGUGUAGCAGUGAAAUGCGUAGAGAUGUGGAGGAAUACCGAUGGCGAAGGCAGCCCCCUGGGCCAAUACUGACGCUCAUGCACGAAAGCGUGGGGGAGCAAACAGGAUUAGAUACCCUGGUAGUCCACGCCCUAAACGAUGUCAACUAGUUGUUGGGGGAUUCAUUUGCCUUAGUAACGUAGCUAACGCGUGAAGUUGACCGCCUGGGGGAGUACGGUC